GGACCUAUCUAGACUUGCCACAUGGUGGGUCGUGAGGAGUUCCAAGGUGUUCCUUGCAAAUUAUUUCAUAGGACUGAAGGACCGCAGAGAUUUGUUACUUCAGAGUUGACCACAUGGCAUGAUCUAGCAUUUUAAUGAUUGGAUCUACACUGCUCAAGACCUGUAUAAAUAGACUUGCUGCUUGAUGGAAUUUUGCCAUCCCAUCC
RNAcentral lists this long non-coding RNA (206 nucleotides) under Elaeis guineensis (African oil palm). Its description in RNAcentral is "long non-coding RNA (EGUI_LNC043114)". Lineage: Eukaryota; Viridiplantae; Streptophyta; Magnoliopsida; Arecales; Arecaceae. The record is from RNAcentral.